AUAAGUACGAGAAUUUAAUCAAGGACAUCGGAAUUAAGUUCGAGAAAUAAGAAUUUAGACCGAAGCGGGUCUAUUAAAAUUAUCGUAAAAUAAUAAAUUAAGUGGAAUUUAUUAUUUGAUAAAUUGGAAUUUAGCGGGACUAAGAAAAGUAAAUAAAUUAAAAUAAAAUAAAUGGUAAGUCCCGAGUUAAUUUUACGAUAAAGUUCGUAAAAUAAAUUAUUUGGACCUAGAUAAAUAAAUAAUGUGAUGGAGCCAUUAUUUAUCAAUAAAGAAUAAUCGUCAAGGUUCUUUUUAAUUACGACAACAUUUUAGACUUUAAUUGAAAAAUUUAAAAGUUGAAGGAUUUAGUGGGAAGAGGUGCCAAAUCUAAGUAUUUAUAUAGAUUUUUUCCCCAUAAAACCAAUAGGAAAAAGGCACCUAAACCUCCACCUCUUCAAGAAUACUCUAGCUCAAAUAAGAUUAGAAUUGGAAAAUAGAAACAAAACCCAUCUUCUUCUCCUCCACCGAAAACCCCAUCACCAUCUUCAUCAACUUGGAGCUCUCACCACGGUGGCAUCAAUAUCUUCACAAUCCGGCCACCAAAUCCAGCGAUUCAAGCUCGGUUGGAGAGCUAACACACACACGAAUAAGACUCGACGAGGCGACUAUUAAGGGGGCGCAAAACGUAAAGAACGCAACAGGGCUUUGCUAUGGCCGAAGUCUUUGGAUAGCAAUUAUGUUAUGUUUCAGGUGUAUAGUAUCAGAUGUAACGGACUUCUAUCCUUGUUCCAGAAGUCCGCGAAUACAGAAAGAAGGAAUAAAUCAGUAGUGCUGCAGUAGUCGAGUCCUAGAGUGUAAUUAUGUUUUGUCAAACGGUUUUAUAUAUGUUGUUUAUACUCUGACAUGUAUAAAGGUUUUAAACUGCGCUUUUAAACCGUUUAUAUAUAUAUAUAUAUGUGAGAAACAGGGCAUUGCUUGAUAUGAGAUAUCGCUUUGUAAGACCCUGAUUUCUAAAGAUCGUUUUGUAUCGUUUAAAGAAGUUUUAUAAAAACGUUUUGAGAAUGUUUCGCGAAAAAUUUAUAGUGAAAUUUUAGGCUUGCUACGGGUUUCGGAGCUACCACUCCCAUUCCCUAGCGCCGGUCGCGGCCCUAAUUUUUGGGUCGUGACAAAGGUGGUAUCAGAGCAAUGGUUAGAUUCAUAGGCCAUUGCUUAUAGGUGAUCAUUUGUACCUAGGUUUGACAUUGUCACUAGGUUAAGUUAGGAACUACUGCAGCUAUAGGACUCGAGUCAUGUCAUUGAUAGGUCCUCGUUUGUUUUCUAAACUUCCAACUCUCCUCGAUAGGAUACGAGUCCAUAUGAUCGAUUGCUUUAUGAAACGUUGUUUGUUCUAUAUGGGAUAUGUGUAUGCGAUAAGGAUGCAUGUUUCAUUUAUGAUAGAGUACGCAUACGCAAUGUGCAUACGGAGAAGGACAUGUGACAAAUUGACUCUCACAAGUGUGUAUGGGCAAGAGGAGGCCCAGCCACAUGUAUUGGUCCUCGUAUGCCUUGUCCUAUCACAUUUCUUUUAGUUGCUAUGGUUUGGCCAAUAAGACAAGCCAUUAUGGCAUAGAUGUAUCGUAUCAGAUAUAGAUCGUUAUUAAAUAGACGAUGCACUAGAAAGAAUGAGAACCUAGGUGCAUAACCUAAGAUAUUCCUUUAGGAAGGAAACAAAACGUAGAGAACAUACAUUGAACACACAUCAUACAUACAUUGAAAGAGUUCGACAUUCUCUACAAAAUGUCAAAUAUGCCUGAAUAACCUUAGCUAUGCCCUGAACAUAGCUUGAUAGUAUGUGAUAGAAAGAUAGAGAACGAGAAUAAAAUACACCAAUAAGAUAGAUAAAAAGCCAUAUAAAGAAAAGUUAAAAUGUCACAGAAGUUCCGAUCUGAGUUGACUUAUGGUGUUUACAAAAGAAAUAAAGUUUUGAGAUUUCCUUUAAAAGUAUAAUUGUGCACAGACCCAACAUGUAGUAUGCCAUAGGAAGCAUGAAAGACAUGAUUGAAAACACAUUGCAGUAUCAGCAUAUAUGUAUAAAUAUUUUGAUAUAAAACCAUAAUUUUACUCUCCAUCAUGCAUUCGCUGAUACGAGCAAUUCAAAGAAUUUUAAAUAGCAACUCUUUAGUGAUGAGAGGUGUCAUCACUCUGAUGCACAAUUAUACUAAAAGUUUUGAAACUAUAUGAUUGAAAUGGUGUUCGAUUUGAAAAGAAAUUGUUUUGAAAGUCCCGCGGGCAAAGUCAAAUUGAUUUGAAACGUAAGAAAACCGGAUGGAAUUUCCUGUGACACCAAUAUAUAAACUUUAACAAAGAGCAAUAACAAAUAUAAAAGAUUGUAUUGAGAUAGUUUAAUAGUGAACACAGUUCACACCUCAUAGAUAGGACCUAUGAAGGCAGUAAUCGUAUGAGAAAAGUAAGUCACCUCGAGAGUAAGAGGUGCAAUGACGAUCGAGAGUAACGACAUCUAGGUGUAUGAUCGAAAACAUCGAUACCAAGAGAUAUGAUUGAUAUAGAUAAUGGACACGAUGAUGUGAAGUGGUGAUGUGCGAAUACAUACGCACUAAGGGGAACAAGGAUAUAGAUCGAUGACGCUUAAAGAAGCGAACAAGUAAAUGAUCGAUAAUACUAAUAAGCUAUAUAGACAUCAAGGGAUGUAAUGAAAUAGGAAGGAAAGACUCAACAAAGGGGUUGAGCUAUAACACGAUGGUGUUAUCGGAUAAACUAAAACAAGAGACAGUAAAGAAGGACACCUAUAAGAGGUAUUUAUAUAUAAGGAAGUAUAACAAAAUUAAAAAUGGACAAAAGAAUACGAAGAGAUCGAUUAACAUGACCGACACAGAUAUGGCUUAAACAACCUACGUAUAUGGUGUGACACUCCAUAAAGGUAAUCGAGGAAAAGAAUUAAAGACGUUACAUGGAAAGUAACAAGAAAAUAAGGAACAAUUGAACUCUAUAUAGGGUCAAGAAGUAUAAAAUUGAUCUAGGGAUAAGAUCAAUUUCACUGAUAGACGAAAUAUCAGUAAGAAUAUGACAUAUGGAUCUGCAAACGACCAAGAGUGUAACACAUUAACAAGUAUAAAGGAGUAACUUUUGACCUUCUAGUUAUAGGAGCGGUGAAAAAUGUUGAAGCAAGAAGUAUAAGAUGAUCGGGAGGUAAGUUAAGACAAAGUUAAGAACUUCACUGGACAAUGCUAAAGGAGAUAUCAGUCCUAUAUUCACUAAGAUUAAAAGAUCCAAAGGUAAUAUGUACAACGGAAUAAGAUGAAUAAAAAGGAUCGGGAAGCAGUGUGUACAUGAAAACGAGAAGUAUAAAGUGGUCAAGAAACUUAGUAAAGAAAAGAUAAGGACCUCAUUGGAUACUGGUAAAGGAUACUACAAAUUUAAUAUAGAUAGUUGAGGUUAAAGGAUUGAGAGCUAAGAUAUAUCGUGAAUAAGGACGCGAUACAUGUAAGGUACUGCUAAGUAGGUAUUCAACUUCAUGAAUCCAGAAAGCCAUGAAGUAGUUGACUGAUAGUAAAGGAAAGGGCAUUCCUAACUACCAUAAGGCAUGGAUAAGGGUAUUGGACGAAAGGCCUUAUAAGUCUAACUAUAAAGACAAUGGUUAGUAAAUGGAUAAUCAGAGUGUCACAGCGAAAGCAAAAGUAGAAAGAGAUAAUCAUGUACGUGAUCGAAUACGAGAAAGACAAGAAACUUCAAGAACCAUGACGUCGAACUUCGAUAAACUCGAAAGUCAAUAAAAUCGUAAAAAUGGAAUAGAGAUUCAUCGAGAAAUAGUACAACCUAACGAAUAAGAGUUAAGACUAAGGUUAAGGUUUCAUAAAACAAUCGAAAGAGGAUCGAUUAAACUACAAUGGAAAAAAAAAAAUAUAGUUCAUGAUGAAUAAUAGAAAGAAGCAAAGGACUAAAGGACAUAAGAUAAAGAAACACCCUAGCUCAGGGCAAGGAAUAUGUGUUAAGUAAUAACACAUUACAAAAUAAGAAAUCUACGGAAGAAUGUGAUUUGAGAUAAGGUAAAGGAUUAACCUUAUACUCAACAACAAAAGGAAAGCAUAAGUGAACACUUAAGGAGAUUAAGAAAAUAUCGAAAGAAGUUCGACUUCAAACGAAAAAUAUAGACAGAAUGAUAAGGUAUAAGAAAACUAAAUGUAUUUCAAGAAAGGAUUGAUUGGUUGCUUAGUUCAUAGGCUCAAACUACAGCCUAUACAAGUAAUUAACUAUAGCCCUAGGAAGUGACUUCCGGGCCAAUUUUUGAAGUUUUCGGGUUUUAAUUUCAACCCGAAGUACAAAAGGAAAUGGUAAAAGAUAUUGUGAACUACACGAAUACCAGUUUGGUUUAGUAAACAAACACUUAUGAAUAAGCGAUUAGGACAACCAAAGUAAGAUAGAAGAGUAAAUUUUGGAUAAGUUUAAAUGACUUAAAAAGAGUAAGUCAAAGUUGAUAUCAUAAAGUGGGGAACAAAGAAAGUUCAAGGUUGAUAUCCAGAAUAACACUACCCUUAUGGUAUUAAGGAGCGAACAAUAGACAAAGGUUGGCGAAUACCAACGUUAAGAAGUGAAAAGAUGUGAAUCUAUCAAGGCAAGAAGUUGGUAGACGAUUAGAUUAACAUCUCAAUGGGAAUUGUAUAAAGAGCAGCUACGCGCGAACGAAGGAAAUUUGUGAAGAGAGAUUAGUCAUCUCUUUUAUAACAGACAUUAAGCAUCACCAUACGAUUAAGUAUGAUACAGAAGAACGUAAAGACAAGACCAACUAUCUUUAAGGAUGUUAGCAAUUAUUGUAAGAUAAAUCAAACACUUGAUAAUAAAGACGGGUAACUAGAAAACCGUCAAGAAAUGACGAUGUAAGAAACUUUAAGGAACACAAUGGAUUACAAAGGCGAAGUUAUUAUAACUUUAUGAUCUGGGUAACGAUAGUAUAAAAAGUAAGACUUUAAGUCUUUAUAAGAAGCAAUAAGAAUUGCUAAGAAGUGUAAUACUUGAUGGAUAAGAGUAUUACUAUAAUUAUGAAAAUUCGAGGACGAAUUUUUAUAAGGGGGGAAGAAUGUAAUACCCCGUACUUUUAAAGUACCAAGUAAUGUGCCACGAAGCAUAAGUACGAGAAUUUAAUCAAGGACAUCGGAAUUAAGUUCGAGAAAUAAGAAUUUAGACCGAAGCGGGUCUAUUAAAAUUAUCGUAAAAUAAUAAAUUAAGUGGAAUUUAUUAUUUGAUAAAUUGGAAUUUAGCGGGACUAAGAAAAGUAAAUAAAUUAAAAUAAAAUAAAUGGUAAGUCCCGAGUUAAUUUUACGAUAAAGUUCGUAAAAUAAAUUAUUUGGACCUAGAUAAAUAAAUAAUGUGAUGGAGCCAUUAUUUAUCAAUAAAGAAUAAUCGUCAAGGUUCUUUUUAAUUACGACAACAUUUUAGACUUUAAUUGAAAAAUUUAAAAGUUGAAGGAUUUAGUGGGAAGAGGUGCCAAAUCUAAGUAUUUAUAUAGAUUUUUUCCCCAUAAAACCAAUAGGAAAAAGGCACCUAAACCUCCACCUCUUCAAGAAUACUCUAGCUCAAAUAAGAUUAGAAUUGGAAAAUAGAAACAAAACCCAUCUUCUUCUCCUCCACCGAAAACCCCAUCACCAUCUUCAUCAACUUGGAGCUCUCACCACGGUGGCAUCAAUAUCUUCACAAUCCGGCCACCAAAUCCAGCGAUUCAAGCUCGGUUGGAGAGCUAACACACACACGAAUAAGACUCGACGAGGCGACUAUUAAGGGGGCGCAAAACGUAAAGAACGCAACAGGGCUUUGCUAUGGCCGAAGUCUUUGGAUAGCAAUUAUGUUAUGUUUCAGGUGUAUAGUAUCAGAUGUAACGGACUUCUAUCCUUGUUCCAGAAGUCCGCGAAUACAGAAAGAAGGAAUAAAUCAGUAGUGCUGCAGUAGUCGAGUCCUAGAGUGUAAUUAUGUUUUGUCAAACGGUUUUAUAUAUGUUGUUUAUACUCUGACAUGUAUAAAGGUUUUAAACUGCGCUUUUAAACCGUUUAUAUAUAUAUAUAUGUGAGAAACAGGGCAUUGCUUGAUAUGAGAUAUCGCUUUGUAAGACCCUGAUUUCUAAAGAUCGUUUUGUAUCGUUUAAAGAAGUUUUAUAAAAACGUUUUGAGAA
Mercurialis annua (annual mercury) is the source of this 6136-nucleotide long non-coding RNA. RefSeq lists it as uncharacterized. The record is from RefSeq and is a predicted model, not a curated record. The transcript is spliced from 5 exons. NCBI's taxonomy places the organism in Eukaryota, Viridiplantae, Streptophyta, Magnoliopsida, Malpighiales, Euphorbiaceae.